GACGAACGCUGGCGGCGUGCCUAAUACAUGCAAGUAGAACGCUGAAGGAGGAGCUUGCUUCUCUGGAUGAGUUGCGAACGGGUGAGUAACGCGUAGGUAACCUGCCUGGUAGCGGGGGAUAACUAUUGGAAACGAUAGCUAAUACCGCAUAAUAGUAGAUGUCGCAUGACAUUUGCUUAAAAGGUGCAAUUGCAUCACUACCAGAUGGACCUGCGUUGUAUUAGCUAGUUGGUGAGGUAACGGCUCACCAAGGCAACGAUACAUAGCCGACCUGAGAGGGUGAUCGGCCACACUGGGACUGAGACACGGCCCAGACUCCUACGGGAGGCAGCAGUAGGGAAUCUUCGGCAAUGGACGGAAGUCUGACCGAGCAACGCCGCGUGAGUGAAGAAGGUUGUCGGAUCGUAAAGCUCUGUUGUAAGAGAAGAACGAGUGUGAGAGUGGAAAGUUCACACUGUGACGGUAUCUUACCAGAAAGGGACGGCUAACUACGUG
This 495-nucleotide ribosomal RNA is filed under the name uncultured bacterium. RNAcentral's name for it is "partial 16S ribosomal RNA". It matches the Rfam family "Bacterial small subunit ribosomal RNA", at positions 28 to 507 of the family's 1533-position model. The record is from RNAcentral.